AAAAGGCCAAUUACGAUUCUGCCAACAUCUUUAUCUCCAAUCCUCACAUCAAAGAAGACCUGCAUGUGGUUGAAAGGCGGAGCACAAGGUCACACGGUGGAAAAGCCACAAUACAAGGCCCUGUGAAAGGGAUGAGGCUGCAAAGUCCCACAGAAGAGGAAGCAGAGAGAUAGUCACUGUGAUGGGAAGUCAAGCUUUACAAGAAGGCAUCCUUCCAUUAUCUUCUAACCUUGGGUAAACAUGCUGAAAAAAGACCUGAAGCUGUAAGGAGGCAGAUCCCCACCCCACCA
Molecule: long non-coding RNA, 290 nt
Organism: Cervus elaphus (red deer)
Lineage: Eukaryota; Metazoa; Chordata; Mammalia; Artiodactyla; Cervidae
Exons: 3
Source: RefSeq, a predicted model, not a curated record